This 506-nucleotide ribosomal RNA is filed under the name uncultured bacterium. Its description in RNAcentral is "partial 16S ribosomal RNA". It matches the Rfam family "Bacterial small subunit ribosomal RNA", at positions 30 to 523 of the family's 1533-position model. The record is from RNAcentral.
AUUGAACGCUGGCGGCAGGCCUAACACAUGCAAGUCGAACGGUAACAGGAAACAGCUUGCUGUUUCGCUGACGAGUGGCGGACGGGUGAGUAAUGUCUGGGAAACUGCCGGAUGGAGGGGGAUAACUACUGGAAACGGUAGCUAAUACCGCAUAACGUCGCAAGACCAAAGCGGGGGACCUUCGGGCCUCUUGCCAUCGGAUGUGCCCAGAUGGGAUUAGCUUGUCGGUGGGGUAACGGCUCGCCAAGGCGACGAUCCCUAGCUGGUCUGAGAGGAUGACCAGCCACACUGGAACUGAGACACGGUCCAGACUCCUACGGGAGGCAGCAGUGGGGAAUAUUGCACAAUGGGCGCAAGCCUGAUGCAGCCAUGCCGCGUGUAUGAAGAAGGCCUUCGGGUUGUAAAGUACUUUCAGCGGGGAGGAAGGGAGUAAAGUUAAUACCUUUACUCAUUGACGUUACCCGCAGAAGAAGCACCGGCUAACUCCGUGCCAGCAGCCGCCGUAA